Molecule: long non-coding RNA, 494 nt
Organism: Drosophila arizonae
Lineage: Eukaryota; Metazoa; Arthropoda; Insecta; Diptera; Drosophilidae
Gene: CanA1
Source: RefSeq, a predicted model, not a curated record
CGGCCUCUCGCUAUUUGUCGAUGCGUUCGAUCGUUGUUUUUAAUGUGUCUUUGAUGUUGUCUAACGAUUCGGUUAGCUGCUAGCUUUUCGCGAAAAUUCAAAACGAAAAUUUUUCGCUCAGUAUCGAGGGAAAUCACGACGCGCCAACUUGGUGGGAAAUGCCAGUACGUGAACGCGCUCAAUUAGUGUGCACAAGGAUUACCAGCAAAAGUGUGACCAAAGUCAUCUAUAUAUAUAUGCUAUAAAAUAAAAAUAAAAAUAAAUAUAAUAUUUAGUAUAUAAUGUCUACCAAAUAUAUAAAUACAAGAUAAUCGCGCUCUUCCUGUCGUUCGUCUAAUUAGCAUCGAGUGCCGAGCGAUUAUACGGAUCAGCUCUUAAGCAGUCUAUGCCAAGUGUGCUCUAUCUGUGAAUAGAUUCUUUGAAAAACGCUCACUAACUUUUUCAGCGUUAAAAGCACAAACAAAAAAUCGUGUCAUAAAAUCCCAUAUUAAAAA